AGUGAACGCUGGCGGCGUGCUUAACACAUGCAAGUCGAACGAGAACGGAUUAUAGCUUGCUAUAAUUGUCAGCUAAGUGGCGCACGGGUGAGUAACGUAUAGGUAAUAUGCCUCUUACUAAGGGAUAACAAAUGGAAACGUUUGCUAAUACCUUAUACUCCUUAUUAACAGAAGUUAAUAAGGGAAAGAUUUAUUGGUAAGAGAUUAGCCUGUAUUGUAUCAGUUAGUUGGUGGGGUAAUGGCCUACCAAGACUAUGACACAUAACUGGUUUGAGAGGAUGAUCAGUCACACUGGAACUGAGACACGGUCCAGACUCCUACGGGAGGCAGCAGUGGGGAAUAUUGCACAAUGGACGAAAGUCUGAUGCAGCAACGCCGCGUGGAGGAUGACACAUUUCGGUGUGUAAACUCCUUUUAUAUGAGAAGAUAAUGACGGUAUUAUAUGAAUAAGCACCGGCUAACUCCGUGCCAGCCGCCGCGGUAA
RNAcentral lists this ribosomal RNA (484 nucleotides) under uncultured bacterium. RNAcentral's name for it is "partial 16S ribosomal RNA". It matches the Rfam family "Bacterial small subunit ribosomal RNA", at positions 29 to 523 of the family's 1533-position model. The record is from RNAcentral.